Molecule: long non-coding RNA, 1042 nt
Filed under: Homo sapiens (human)
Lineage: Eukaryota; Metazoa; Chordata; Mammalia; Primates; Hominidae
Description: HSALNT0076390
Source: RNAcentral
AGAAAAUGCAACUGUUCAAGUCAAAUUUAACUGUGAAAGCAGACUUCAGCACAAAUAACUAAUGAAGCACCAUUUUUUUUUUUGUAAAGGUGACACUCUAAAAUUUCACAAUUUUUAAUACAGCGACUGCCAAUAUUCUUACAUGAAGACUCUUGCUCAAGAUUCUGGUUCCAAAGAGAGCAUCUUUGAAAUGGAGCAAGAUGACACCUGCAUGGUUCUUCAGUGGAAAGGCUCAUAACUUGUUAAUAAGAGCUACAAAAAGCUAAGAGUAUCUUUAGAAAGCAGAGUGAACAUAUCUUGUUAUUUAAAACAUUACAAUGUAGAUCAAUUUGGUAAUAAGACAGCAAAACAGAAGAAAACACUGAAGCUGAAAUACACGGCUACAAGUGAAGCUGGAGAGCAGCUUGGGGUGUCCUGAGGUCAAAGGCAUACUGUAGAUGAAUUACAGCAAGCGAGUCCUCAGUUGCUCUGAGCAAAAGCAGUCAUGAUUUCUCAGACACAGCCUGGAAGAAAUCCAAUAAAGUAAACAACACAGAUUCAGGGACUCCAGAGACCUCUAACGAAAUGGGGUUAUUGAAGAGAAAAUACCCAAAUGUGAAUUGUAAACUAAACAAGUGCAGGAAAUAAAGAGGCAGUGGCCAUGUUUAGUCUGAAAUGUGCUGAUCAAUUGAAUUCACAUUUCCUAAAACACUCUGAUUUUGCUUGGGUUGGAUGGAUGCUUGAUUUUCCACAGAACAGAGCACGGCAGUAGUCAGUAAUAAAGGGCACACUAACACGGCAAGAUUGAUGGCAAAAUACUUGUGGAAGUUAUAAGAUUGUUUUUAAAAAAAUCUGUGGUGCAUAAGAUCUACUAACAGCUGUUGCCCAUGGUCCAUGCUAAGGACUACUUACUAGUCUUUUUCUGAUUUUUCUGGGACAUCUACCCUACCUAGGAAAUCCAGACAGGUCUCUCUCUCUAGCUCAGCUCAGCAGUGUCUCUCUCUCUCUCUUUCUCUCUCUCUCUCUCACUCUCUCUAAUUUUACCUUAAAUAAGGGCUUCAGA